RNAcentral lists this transfer RNA (403 nucleotides) under Limosilactobacillus pontis. RNAcentral's name for it is "Lactobacillus pontis 16S-23S ribosomal RNA large intergenic spacer". The stretch from base 87 to 161 matches the Rfam family "tRNA". The record is from RNAcentral. Lineage: Bacteria; Bacillati; Bacillota; Bacilli; Lactobacillales; Lactobacillaceae.
CUAAGGAAUAAAACGGAGCCUACACAUUGUCGAAACUUUGUUUAGUUUUGAGGGGUUUACCUCAAAACUUACUGAGACGCUUAUUUGGGCCUAUAGCUCAGCUGGUUUAGAGCGCACGCCUGAUAAGCGUGAGGUCGAUGGUUCAAGUCCAUUUAGGCCCAUAUAUGGGGAAUUAGCUCAGCUGGGAGAGCACCUGCUUUGCAAGCAGGAGGUCAUCGGUUCGAUUCCGUUAUUCUCCAUUGCCAAUCGUAAGGUUGGCACGAGCUUGUACUUUGAAAACUAAAUAAUAUCUAAUUUCUUUAUUUAUUAAAAACAAUAAACCGAGAACACCGCGUUAUUUGAGUUUUAUUAACGAAAUAAUCGCUAACUCAAUUAAUUGAGAUGACCACUAAGUGGUCAUCAA